RNAcentral lists this ribosomal RNA (777 nucleotides) under uncultured Neocallimastigales. RNAcentral's name for it is "partial large subunit ribosomal RNA". It matches the Rfam family "Eukaryotic large subunit ribosomal RNA", at positions 24 to 645 of the family's 3401-position model. The record is from RNAcentral. Lineage: Eukaryota; Fungi; Neocallimastigomycota; Neocallimastigomycetes; Neocallimastigales.
UAUGUGAUCGUCUCUCGCAUAUCAAUAAGCGGAGGAAAAGAAACUAACAAGGAUUCCCCUAGUAACGGCGAGUGAAGCGGGAAGAGCUCAAAUUUGAAAUCUUAAAGGGUUUCCCUUUACGAAUUGUAGUUUAAAGAAGUGUUUUCUGUUGAGGUUUUGGUAAAAGUUCUUUGGAAUAGGACAUCAUAGAGGGUGAGAAUCCCGUAUUUGACCUUUACUUUCAACUUUGUGAUACACUUUCAAAGAGUCGGAUUGUUUGGGAAUGUCAGUCCAAAAUGGGUGGUAAAUUUCAUCUAAAGCUAAAUAUUGGCGAGAGACCGAUAGCGAACAAGUACCGUGAGGGAAAGAUGAAAAGAACUUUGAAAAGAGAGUUAAACAGUACGUGAAAUUGUCAAAAGGGAAGCGUUUGUACACCAGUGUUGUUUUUCUGAAAAUCAAUUAAAGAACUGUUUAUGCUAAGUUGUUUAGACUUUAUCAGCUAAUCUGCUUAGUUUUGAGCUUUUCUUUAAUGCACUUUUCAGUUAACAAGUCAACAUCAAUUUCUUUUGCUGUAAAAAAGCUUGAGGAAGGUGGCUUGAGAUUCGUCUUAAGUGUUUAUAGCCUCUUGCCUAUGCAGUCGGAGAGAUUGAGGUCUGCAGCGUAGAUCCUUCGGGGCUAAAUGCAUUUGUGCUAAGUUAUAACAUUUUAUAGACAACUUGUUGACUAUGAUUUGUCUUGUAGCUUACUCGCUUAUGUUAUUUUACCUACGCUUAGGAUGUUGAAGUCAUCGUAUCGCGC